Molecule: ribosomal RNA, 1500 nt
Filed under: Leuconostoc mesenteroides
Lineage: Bacteria; Bacillati; Bacillota; Bacilli; Lactobacillales; Lactobacillaceae
Description: partial 16S ribosomal RNA
Rfam family: Bacterial small subunit ribosomal RNA
Source: RNAcentral
UGCUUUAAUUGCCACCUCUAUUUUCUUUGUUGUUUGUUUUUGUUUGUCCGUGUUUUUUAUUCUGACCUAACUGCCCGGCCGGGAGCCCGCUUACAAAUGAACAAGAAUGUUUCCUUUUAAGGGGCGGAGGGGGAACACCUGCAACCCGCUCAAGGGGGAAACAAUUGAACAGGUUUUACCCGAAUAAAUUUGGUCCCCAACAAAAGUUAAGGGCGUUUGGGUUCACAAGAGAGGUUCCGGGGCCAUAUUUAGUGGGGGGAAAAGCCUCACAAAAAAAUGGUGCUUGCCGAUUGGAGGAUUGUUCGCCCACAUGGGGAUGGAACACGGCCCAAAUUCUUAGGGGGGGUGCAGUAGGGAUUUUCCACAAUGGGCGAAAGCUUGAUGAGCAACGCCGCGUGUGUGUGAAGCUUUCGGGUCGUAAAGCACUGUUGUAUGGGAAGAACAGCUAGAAUAGGAAAUGAUUUUAGUUUGACGGUACCAUACCAGAAAGGGACGGCUAAAUACGUGCCAGCAGCCGCGGUAAUACGUAUGUCCCGAGCGUUAUCCGGAUUUAUUGGGCGUAAAGCGAGCGCAGACGGUUUAUUAAGUCUGAUGUGAAAGCCCGGAGCUCAACUCCGGAAUGGCAUUGGAAACUGGUUAACUUGAGUGCAGUAGAGGUAAGUGGAACUCCAUGUGUAGCGGUGGAAUGCGUAGAUAUAUGGAAGAACACCAGUGGCGAAGGCGGCUUACUGGACUGCAACUGACGUUGAGGCUCGAAAGUGUGGGUAGCAAACAGGAUUAGAUACCCUGGUAGUCCACACCGUAAACGAUGAACACUAGGUGUUAGGAGGUUUCCGCCUCUUAGUGCCGAAGCUAACGCAUUAAGUGUUCCGCCUGGGGAGUACGACCGCAAGGUUGAAACUCAAAGGAAUUGACGGGGACCCGCACAAGCGGUGGAGCAUGUGGUUUAAUUCGAAGCAACGCGAAGAACCUUACCAGGUCUUGACAUCCUUUGAAGCUUUUAGAGAUAGAAGUGUUCUCUUCGGAGACAAAGUGACAGGUGGUGCAUGGUCGUCGUCAGCUCGUGUCGUGAGAUGUUGGGUUAAGUCCCGCAACGAGCGCAACCCUUAUUGUUAGUUGCCAGCAUUCAGAUGGGCACUCUAGCGAGACUGCCGGUGACAAACCGGAGGAAGGCGGGGACGACGUCAGAUCAUCAUGCCCCUUAUGACCUGGGCUACACACGUGCUACAAUGGCGUAUACAACGAGUUGCCAACCCGCGAGGGUGAGCUAAUCUCUUAAAGUACGUCUCAGUUCGGAUUGUAGUCUGCAACUCGACUACAUGAAGUCGGAAUCGCUAGUAAUCGCGGAUCAGCACGCCGCGGUGAAUACGUUCCCGGGUCUUGUACACACCGCCCGUCACACCAUGGGAGUUUGUAAUGCCCAAAGCCGGUGGCCUAACCUUUUAGGAAGGAGCCGUCUAAGGCAGGACAGAUGACUGGGGGAAGUCGCCCCCCUUUUGC